RNAcentral lists this long non-coding RNA (527 nucleotides) under Olea europaea (common olive). RNAcentral describes it as "long non-coding RNA (OEUR_LNC013686)". Lineage: Eukaryota; Viridiplantae; Streptophyta; Magnoliopsida; Lamiales; Oleaceae. The record is from RNAcentral.
CAAAAAUUAAAUCCCCAACAGAUUCCAAGUUCAUGUGCAGCAAUAGCAUUAACCAAUAAUACCAAGCAAAUAAUUAAUAUCGAUAAAAAAUAAUACAAGCAAUAGCAUCAACCAAUAAUACCAAACAAAAAUACCGAUAAAAAAAAAUAAUAAUACCAAAUGUUAUGCCCCUAUCUGAACCACUUCGGAAAGUCUGCCACUGCAUCAUACGAGGUGUCCAACACACAUCCAAAGUGGUUCCAAAAUGACUCCACCACUAAUGUUGGCGAGCUGCUAACGUGCUACGAGGCACAAACAAUUCUACCGAACCAACCGAAGAGUUCUUGCCUCUGACGUCGAAGCGCAAUGCACUCCGAGGAUCUCUGUCAGAGGAUCCGUCAUCAAUUUCAGAAAGAGAUCUGUGUCAAGAUCCUUUCUGCCCCCAAAGUUUAAUUGAUUUGACAUCUCCAUGGGCCUAGUUGAUGUGAUGUAUCAACUUUAUGUCAACUCAACUCGGAAGAAGUUAUUACCCGCCCACUCUAUAGACG